UACGAAGGGGGCUAGCGUUGCUCGGAAUCACUGGGCGUAAAGCGCACGUAGGCGGCUGGCCCAGUCAGAGGUGAAAGCCCAAGGCUCAACCUUGGAACUGCCUUUGAUACUGUUUGGCUUGAGACCGGUAGAGGUAAGUGGAACUGCGAGUGUAGAGGUGAAAUUCGUAGAUAUUCGCAAGAACACCAGUGGCGAAGGCGGCUUACUGGACCGGUUCUGACGCUGAGGCGCGAAAGCGUGGGGAGCAAACAGG
This 253-nucleotide ribosomal RNA is filed under the name uncultured bacterium. RNAcentral's name for it is "partial 16S ribosomal RNA". It matches the Rfam family "Bacterial small subunit ribosomal RNA", at positions 524 to 776 of the family's 1533-position model. The record is from RNAcentral.